This is an unclassified non-coding RNA of Sinocyclocheilus rhinocerous, 298 nucleotides long. It matches the Rfam family "Metazoan signal recognition particle RNA". Rfam says of the family: The signal recognition particle (SRP) is a universally conserved ribonucleoprotein. NCBI's taxonomy places the organism in Eukaryota, Metazoa, Chordata, Actinopteri, Cypriniformes, Cyprinidae. The record is from Ensembl.
GUCGGGUGCAGUGGCGCGCGCCUGUAAUCCAAGCUGCUGGGAGGCUGAGGCUGGCGGAUCGCUUGAGUUCAGGGGUUCUGGGCUGCAGUGGACUAUGUCGAUCGGGUGUCCGCACUAAGUUCGGUAUCGAUAUGGUGCUCCUGGGGGAGCUCGGGACCACCAGGUCGUCUAAGGAGGGGUGAACCGGCCCAGGUCGGAGACGGAGCAGGUCAAAGCCCCCGUGUCGAUCAGUAGUGGGGUCGCGCCUGUGAAUAGACACUGCAGUGCAGCCUGAGCGAUACAGCGAGACUCAGACUUU